AGUGAACGCUGGCGGUAGGCCUAACACAUGCAAGUCGAACGGCAGCACAGUAAGAGCUUGCUCUUACGGGUGGCGAGUGGCGGACGGGUGAGGAAUACAUCGGAAUCUACUUUUUCGUGGGGGAUAACGUAGGGAAACUUACGCUAAUACCGCAUACGACCUACGGGUGAAAGCAGGGGAUCUUCGGACCUUGCGCGAUUGAAUGAGCCGAUGUCGGAUUAGCUAGUUGGCGGGGUAAAGGCCCACCAAGGCGACGAUCCGUAGCUGGUCUGAGAGGAUGAUCAGCCACCCUGGAACUGAGCCACCGUCCAGACUCCCACGUGCGGCAGCAGCGGGGACUAUUGGCCAGUGGGCGCAAGCCUGGUCCAGCCAUGCCGCGUUGGUGAAGAAGGCCUUCGGGUUGUAAAGCCCUUUUGUUGUGAAAGAAAAGCAGCAGGGUAAUACCCCGCUGUUCUGACGGUACCCAAAGAAUAAGCACCGGCUAACUUCGUG
RNAcentral lists this ribosomal RNA (492 nucleotides) under uncultured bacterium. RNAcentral's name for it is "partial 16S ribosomal RNA". It matches the Rfam family "Bacterial small subunit ribosomal RNA", at positions 29 to 507 of the family's 1533-position model. The record is from RNAcentral.